GUAGGUGGCAAGCAUUGUCCGGAAUUAUUGGGCGUAAAGCGCGCGCAGGUGGUUCUUUAAGUCUGAUGUGAAAGCCCCCGGGCUCAACCGGGGAGGGUCAUUGGAAACUGGGGAACUUGAGUGCAGGAGAGGAAAGUGGAAUUCCACGUGUAGCGGUGAAAUGCGUAGAUAUGUGGAGGAACACCAGUGGCGAAGGCGACUUUCUGGCCUGUAACUGACACUGAGGCGCGAAAGCGUGGGGAGCAAACAGGAUUAGAUACCCUGGUAGUCCACGCCGUAAACGAUGAGUGCUAAGUGUUGGGGGGUUUCCGCCCCUCAGUGCUGCAGCUAACGCAUUAAGCACUCCGCCUGGGGAGUACGGUCGCAAAGACUG
RNAcentral lists this ribosomal RNA (373 nucleotides) under uncultured organism. RNAcentral's name for it is "partial 16S ribosomal RNA". It matches the Rfam family "Bacterial small subunit ribosomal RNA", at positions 527 to 896 of the family's 1533-position model. The record is from RNAcentral.